GACGAACGCUGGCGGCGUGCCUAAUACAUGCAAGUAGAACGCUGAAGGAGGAGCUUGCUUCUCUGGAUGAGUUGCGAACGGGUGAGUAACGCGUAGGUAACCUGCCUGGUAGCGGGGGAUAACUAUUGGAAACGAUAGCUAAUACCGCAUAAUAGUAGAUGUUGCAUGACAUUUGCCUAAAAGGUGCAAUUGCAUCACUACCAGAUGGACCUGCGUUGUAUUAGCUAGUUGGUGGGGUAACGGCUCACCAAGGCGACGAUACAUAGCCGACCUGAGAGGGUGAUCGGCCACACUGGGACUGAGACACGGCCCAGACUCCUACGGGAGGCAGCAGUAGGGAAUCUUCGGCAAUGGACGGAAGUCUGACCGAGCAACGCCGCGGGAGUGAAGAAGGGUUUCGGAUCGUAAAGCUCUGUUGUAAGAGAAGAACGAGUGUGAGAGUGGAAAGUUCACACUGUGACGGUAUCUUACCAGAAAGGGACGGCUAACUACGUG
Molecule: ribosomal RNA, 495 nt
Filed under: uncultured bacterium
Lineage: Bacteria
Description: partial 16S ribosomal RNA
Rfam family: Bacterial small subunit ribosomal RNA
Source: RNAcentral